Molecule: ribosomal RNA, 253 nt
Filed under: uncultured bacterium
Lineage: Bacteria
Description: partial 16S ribosomal RNA
Rfam family: Bacterial small subunit ribosomal RNA
Source: RNAcentral
UACGUAGGGUGCGAGCGUUAAUCGGAAUUACUGGGCGUAAAGCGUGCGCAGGCGGUUUUGUAAGCCAGAUGUGAAAUCCCCGGGCUUAACCUGGGAAUGGCAUUUGGGACUGCAAGGCUGGAGUGUGGCAGAGGAGACUGGAAUUCCCGGUGUAGCAGUGAAAUGCGUAGAUAUCAGGAGGAACACCGAUGGCGAAGGCAGGUCUCUGGGCUGACACUGACGCUCAUGCACGAAAGCGUGGGGAGCAAACAGG